Molecule: non-coding RNA, 30 nt
Filed under: Mus musculus (house mouse)
Lineage: Eukaryota; Metazoa; Chordata; Mammalia; Rodentia; Muridae
Source: RNAcentral
UGGGUCGCCGUCGUCGGUCGUUGUUGUCGU